RNAcentral lists this long non-coding RNA (473 nucleotides) under Mastacembelus armatus (zig-zag eel). RNAcentral describes it as "lncRNA (ENSMAMG00000027769.1)". Lineage: Eukaryota; Metazoa; Chordata; Actinopteri; Synbranchiformes; Mastacembelidae. The record is from RNAcentral.
GACAGAGAAGAUGAUGUGACAGUCCCAACAGUUGUGCAUCAUACCCAGAAGGUUGCAGCUCCUGCUUUUACCAGCAAGGCACCACGCCAAAUCUAUCUGGUCCAUCUUUAUUGAUUCAUCACAAACAUCAGAUGAAAGAAGUGGGUUCGCCUUACCCUCACUCCUCUUCCCUCAUGCUCUGACAACCUGCAGACAUCUCAGAUGAGUGGCAUUCUUCCCACAGAGACACCAAGUCUCAGACUUGGAUGAAUGAACAGGAAGGAGAAAAUGCCCAUGCUCCACUAUGUACUCUCAGCCUGCCAACACAACCAAGAGAAAGAGAAGGACAGAGAGGGAGAGACAGAGUGGUGCUGAGUGUCUUCCACCAAGGUCAAACUACAAUACAGCAAUCUAAUUAAGAGUAUCACAGAGUUUCCUGUAUGGGGUCAACCUCCCAUUUGUUCUCAGAGAAUCAUAUUGUCCAUUAUGUAUUA